GACGAACGCUGGCGGCGCGCCUAACACAUGCAAGUCGAACGAGAGAUGAGGAGCUUGCUCUUCAAAUCGAGUGGCGAACGGGUGAGUAACGCGUGAGGAACCUGCCUCAAAGAGGGGGACAACAGUUGGAAACGACUGCUAAUACCGCAUAAGCCCACGGCUCGGCAUCGAGCAGAGGGAAAAGGAGCAAUCCGCUUUGAGAUGGCCUCGCGUCCGAUUAGCUAGUUGGUGAGGUAACGGCCCACCAAGGCGACGAUCGGUAGCCGGACUGAGAGGUUGAACGGCCACAUUGGGACUGAGACACGGCCCAGACUCCUACGGGAGGCAGCAGUGGGGAAUAUUGCACAAUGGGGGAAACCCUGAUGCAGCGACGCCGCGUGGAGGAAGAAGGUCUUCGGGAUUGUAAAACUCCUGUUGUUGAGGAAGAUAAAUGACGGUACUCAACAAGGAAGUGACGGCUAACUACGUGCCAGCAACCG
RNAcentral lists this ribosomal RNA (479 nucleotides) under uncultured bacterium. RNAcentral's name for it is "bacterial SSU rRNA". It matches the Rfam family "Bacterial small subunit ribosomal RNA", at positions 28 to 517 of the family's 1533-position model. The record is from RNAcentral.